This 492-nucleotide ribosomal RNA is filed under the name uncultured bacterium. RNAcentral's name for it is "partial 16S ribosomal RNA". It matches the Rfam family "Bacterial small subunit ribosomal RNA", at positions 29 to 507 of the family's 1533-position model. The record is from RNAcentral.
AGUGAACGCUGGCGGUAGGCCUAACACAUGCAAGUCGAACGGCAGCACAGUAAGAGCUUGCUCUUACGGGUGGCGAGUGGCGGACGGGUGAGGAAUACAUCGGAAUCUACUUUUUCGUGGGGGAUAACGUAGGGAAACUUACGCUAAUACCGCAUACGACCUCCGGGUGAAAGCAUGGGAUCUUCGGACCUUGCGCGAUUGAAUGAGCCGAUGUCGGAUUAGCUAGUUGGCGGGGUAAAGGCCCACCAAGGCGACGAUCCGUAGCUGGUCUGAGAGGAUGAUCAGCCACACUGGAACUGAGACACGGUCCAGACUCCUACGGGAGGCAGCAGUGGGGAAUAUUGGACAAUAGGCGCAAGCCUGAUCCAGCCAUACCGCGUGGGUGAAGAAGGCCUUCGGGUUGUAAAGCCCUUUUGUUGGGAAAGAAAAGCAGCAGGUUAAUACCCCGCUGUUCUGACGGUACCCAAAGAAUAAGCACCGGCUAACUUCGUG